UGGGGAAUAUUGCACAAUGGGUGCAAGCCUGAUGCAGCCAUGCCGCGUGUAUGAAGAAGGCCUUCGGGUUGUAAAGUACUUUCAGCGGGGAGGAAGGGAGUAAAGUUAAUACCUUUGCUCAUUGACGUUACCCGCAGAAGAAGCACCGGCUAACUCCGUGCCAGCAGCCGUGGUAAUACGGAGGGUGCAAGCGUUAAUCGGAAUUACUGGGCGUAAAGCGCACGCAGGCGGUUUGUUAAGUCAGAUGUGAAAUCCCCGGGCUCAACCUGGGAACUGCAUCUGAUACUGGCAAGCUUGAGUCUCGUAGAGGGGGGUAGAAUUCCAGGUGUAGCGGUGAAAUGCGUAGAGAUCUGGAGGAAUACCGGUGGCGAAGGCGGCCCCCUGGACGAAGACUGACGCUCAGGUGCGAAAGCGUGGGGAGCAAACAGG
This 429-nucleotide ribosomal RNA is filed under the name Chloroflexota bacterium. RNAcentral's name for it is "Chloroflexi bacterium partial 16S ribosomal RNA". It matches the Rfam family "Bacterial small subunit ribosomal RNA", at positions 355 to 776 of the family's 1533-position model. Lineage: Bacteria; Bacillati; Chloroflexota. The record is from RNAcentral.